AGGAGGAACAACCGCAGUGGCGGGGCCAGCUCUGCAGCCCUGGAUUCAGCCCCCGCAGUAACUCUGGAGCUCUCUGUCUGCAGGGCCUGGAGGCUCCGGGGCGGG
This 105-nucleotide microRNA precursor is filed under the name Canis lupus dingo (dingo). RNAcentral describes it as "mir-8834 microRNA precursor family". It matches the Rfam family "mir-8834 microRNA precursor family". Lineage: Eukaryota; Metazoa; Chordata; Mammalia; Carnivora; Canidae. The record is from Rfam by way of RNAcentral.